RNAcentral lists this ribosomal RNA (467 nucleotides) under uncultured bacterium. RNAcentral describes it as "partial 16S ribosomal RNA". It matches the Rfam family "Bacterial small subunit ribosomal RNA", at positions 28 to 506 of the family's 1533-position model. The record is from RNAcentral.
GACGAACGCUGGCGGCGUGCUUAACACAUGCAAGUCGAACGGAAAGGCCCUGCUUUUGUGGGGUGCUCGAGUGGCGAACGGGUGAGUAACACGUGAGUAACCUGCCCUUGACUUUGGGAUAACUUCAGGAAACUGGGGCUAAUACCGGAUAGGAGCUCCUGCUGCAUGGUGGGGGUUGGAAAGUUUCGGCGGUUGGGGAUGGACUCGCGGCUUAUCAGCUUGUUGGUGGGGUAGUGGCUUACCAAGGCUUUGACGGGUAGCCGGCCUGAGAGGGUGACCGGCCACAUGGGGACGGAGAUACGGCCAAGACUCCUACGGGAGGAAGCAGUGGGGAAUAUUGCACAAUGGGCGGAAGCCUGAUGCAGCAACGCCGCGUGCGGGAUGACGGCCUUCGGGUUGUAAACCGCUUUCGCCUGUGACGAAGCGUGAGUGACGGUAAUGGGUAAAGAAACACCGGCGAACUACGU